GACGAACGCUGGCGGCGUGCUUAACACAUGCAAGUCGAACGGAAAGGCCCUGCUUUUGUGGGGUGCUCGAGUGGCGAACGGGUGAGUAACACGUGAGUAACCUGCCCUUGACUUUGGGAUAACUUCAGGAAACUGGGGCUAAUACCGGAUAGGAGCUCCUGCUGCAUGGUGGGGGUUGGAAAGUUUCGGCGGUUGGGGAUGGACUCGCGGCUUAUCAGCUUGUUGGUGGGGUAGUGGCUUACCAAGGCUUUGACGGGUAGCCGGCCUGAGAGGGUGACCGGCCACAUUGGGACUGAGAUACGGCCCAGACUCCUACGGGAGGCAGCAGUGGGGAAUAUUGCACAAUGGGCGGAAGCCUGAUGCAGCAACGCCGCGUGCGGGAUGACGGCCUUCGGGUUGUAAACCGCUUUCGCCUGUGACGAAGCGUGAGUGACGGUAAUGGGUAAAGAAGCACCGGCUAACUACGUGCCAGCAGCCGCGGUGAUACGUAGGGUGCGAGCGUUGUCCGGAUUUAUUGGGCGUAAAGGGCUCGUAGGUGGUUGAUCGCGUCGGAAGUGUAAUCUUGGGGCUUAACCCUGAGCGUGCUUUCGAUACGGGUUGACUUGAGGAAGGUAGGGGAGAAUGGAAUUCCUGGUGGAGCGGUGGAAUGCGCAGAUAUCAGGAGGAACACCAGUGGCGAAGGCGGUUCUCUGGGCCUUUCCUGACGCUGAGGAGCGAAAGCGUGGGGAGCGAACAGGCUUAGAUACCCUGGUAGUCCACGCUGUAAACGGUGGGUACUAGGUGUGGGGUCCGUUCCACGGGUUCCGUGCCGUAGCUAACGCUUUAAGUACCCCGCCUGGGGAGUACGGCCGCAAGGCUAAAACUCAAAGGAAUUGACGGGGCCCCGCACAAGCGGCGGAGCAUGCGGAUUAAUUCGAUGCAACGCGUAGAACCUUACCUGGGUUUGACAUGGAUCGGGAGCGCUCAGAGAUGGGUGUGCCUCUUUUGGGGUCGGUUCACAGGUGGUGCAUGGCUGUCGUCAGCUCGUGUCGUGAGAUGUUGGGUUAAGUCCCGCAACGAGCGCAACCCUUGUUCACUGUUGCCAGCACGUUAUGGUGGGGACUCAGUGGAGACCGCCGGGGUCAACUCGGAGGAAGGUGGGGAUGACGUCAAGUCAUCAUGCCCCUUAUGUCCAGGGCUUCACGCAUGCUACAAUGGCUGGUACAGAGAGUGGCGAGCCUGUGAGGGUGAGCGAAUCUCGGAAAGCCGGUCUCAGAUCGGAUUGGGGUCUGCAACUCGACCUCAUGAAGUCGGAGUCGCUAGUAAUCGCAGAUCAGCAACGCUGCGGUGAAUACGUUCCCGGG
RNAcentral lists this ribosomal RNA (1343 nucleotides) under uncultured bacterium. Its description in RNAcentral is "16S ribosomal RNA". It matches the Rfam family "Bacterial small subunit ribosomal RNA", at positions 28 to 1378 of the family's 1533-position model. The record is from RNAcentral.